GAUGAAGAACGCAGCAAAAUGCGAUAAGUAGUGUGAAUUGCAGAAUUCAGUGAAUCAUCGAAUCUUUGAACGCACAUUGCGCCCGCCAGUAUUCUGGCGGGCAUGCCUGUUCGAGCGUCAUUACAACCCUCAGGCCCCCGGGCCUGGCGUUGGGGAUCGGCGGAGCCCCCCGUGGGCACACGCCGUCCCCCAAAUACAGUGGCGGUCCCGCCGCAGCUUCCAUCGCGUAGUAGCUAACACCUCGCGACUGGAGAGCGGCGCGGCCACGCCGUAAAACACCCAACUCUUCUGAAGUUGACCUCGAAUCAGGUAGGAAUACCCGCUGAACUUAAGCAUAUCAAUAAGCGGAGGA
RNAcentral lists this unclassified non-coding RNA (352 nucleotides) under soil metagenome. RNAcentral describes it as "partial contains 5.8S ribosomal RNA, internal transcribed spacer 2, and large subunit ribosomal RNA". The stretch from base 1 to 120 matches the Rfam family "5.8S ribosomal RNA", at positions 35 to 154 of the family's 154-position model. The record is from RNAcentral.